GGCACCAUAGCCAAGUGGCAAGGCAGAGGUCUGCAAAACCUUUAUCUCCAGUUCGAAUCUGGAUGGUGCCUCCA
Molecule: transfer RNA, 74 nt
Filed under: Clostridia bacterium
Lineage: Bacteria; Bacillati; Bacillota; Clostridia
Description: tRNA-Cys
Rfam family: tRNA
About the family: Transfer RNA (tRNA) molecules are approximately 80 nucleotides in length. Their secondary structure includes four short double-helical elements and three loops (D, anti-codon, and T loops).
Source: RNAcentral